AUGUUUUACUCAUCAUCCUGAAUCUUCAAGAAACAUUCCCUAAUUAAUGAAAGUUACUCCGGUCAAACAUGAACGUUGGAGUUACGUGAAUGGAUAGGUUGGUGUGGUGAUGGUGUCUGCCUUCGCAUCAGAAAUUCGUCCCGAUGAAUCUCAGCCGUCCGAUCCCCUCUCCUUCUCGCUCGACCCACUUGACGGGCAUUUUCGUCUUACAAACGACAGCUUUGGGCAAUAGAGAUACCGACAUCACUCCCGAAAAAAGAAGCAAUCGACACCCGGCCCCCCAAAGGAAAACAAGAAAUUCCCAGCAUUCCAGACACCACCACGACCAGCAUUGCCGCCGUGUUCGCAUCGCCGGUGAAUCAAGAUCGGCGGCCAUCAUGGGGCUGCUGCAGAACCUGGGGCGGAGAGAGAGGGGGAAGGUGGAGGAAGAGGAGCAGAGGAGGAAGAGGAGGAGAGAGUGGAGAAAUCAGGCGGUGAGGAAUUGAAGGAUGUGGAGAGAGAGAAGGGAGGUGGGAUUUCAAGGAGGAGUGGCUGGUUCUAAUCAGAACCCGACAGAAUUACAUGCUUCGAUGUUGCAGCGGUUGAACCCAACGAACCCUUUGAGAUUGUCAUCAAUGGAGGGAGGAGAGUGACUACUCCUUCUCCUGCUCAUGCUUCCAAACCUCGCUCCUCACAACUAGAUAAACAAACUAAGGUUCAUAUACCUGUCCAAUGUAAUGCAAAAAUAUAAGUAAGAUGUUUGAUCAAAAGCAGAGCCCUUUUACUUACUCGAA
Molecule: long non-coding RNA, 773 nt
Organism: Syzygium oleosum
Lineage: Eukaryota; Viridiplantae; Streptophyta; Magnoliopsida; Myrtales; Myrtaceae
Exons: 2
Source: RefSeq, a predicted model, not a curated record